GGAUGGAUCAUUCUUAGACUAACUCAAUACCGUAUCUUUGAUGAACGCGCAUGGAGUUGAAAAGACAAAAACAAUCUCUAGGCGAUGGCUGACUAGGUCCUCAUAACGAAUAAGGACGCAGCGAACUGCGAUAUGUGGUAUGAUGUGCGAAAUCUCGUGAUUAUAUUAUCUCUGAAUGCUUUUGCACCUAACUUUUGAAGUUAGGUCCGGAGUUGUUGGUAUAUAUUAUCUGAAAAGUCUGUGACGGAGCUAUCUCUUACUUCAAGAGUGACAUAACUACUGCUGGAAAGAAUAAAGUUUGUUUCUAGAAAGUGUCUGUUGAGUAUAUCCGACAACUGCGGGAAUACCCGCUGAAUUUAAGCAUAUAAUUAAGCGGAGGAGAAGAAACGAGCAAGGAUUCCCUUAGUAGUGGCGAACGAAGUGGGAUGUGUCCAAAGUGUUAAUCUGGCUUGCCAGAAAUGUUCACAGUCGAAUGCAUUCAAGGAAACAGCUGUUAAGUGUGUGGAAAUACACUUCGUAGAGGGUGAUGAGCCCGUAAACAGCAAUAUUCUGAUCUAUGCACGACAAGGCGAGUAUCGCUCUUUGAGAGUAGAGCGUGAAUAGGGAUUAACCUUUCCCUGUGACUAAAUAUCGAUGAGAAACCGACAGCGAACAAGUACCGUGAGGGAAAGUUGAAAAGUACUCCGGAAGGAGGUUCAAAGACCUAAAAUCGCUUGGAGCGAAGUAUUUUCACAGACGUUGACUUGCAAUUCUAUUGCAGUCAAACAUUCAUUGUGGUGUAGACAUUGAUAAUUUCGCUUUCCUGGAAGAGAAAUAUAUAAACGUCACGUCCACCUUGACUUGUAAGUCUAUGGAGCUAGCCCGUCUUGAAACACGGACCGAGGAGUUGUACAUAAGUGCAAGUAUGUGGGAUUGUAGUCCCUUAUGCGUAGUGAAAGCAGAGAUUCUGAUUCAACUGUGGCCGGUCAACAGACUGAGCUUGAGCAUUUCUGUUCAGACCCGAAAGAUGGUGACCUAUACUUGGAUUGGGUGAAGCCAGGGGAAACUCUGGUGGAGGCUCGUAGCGAUACUGACGUGCAAAUCGUUCGUCGAAUUUGAGUAUAGGGGCGAAAGACUAAUCGAACCAUCUAGUAGCUGGUUCCCUU
Molecule: unclassified non-coding RNA, 1145 nt
Filed under: uncultured soil eukaryote
Lineage: Eukaryota
Description: sequence contains 18S rRNA gene, ITS1, 5.8S rRNA gene, ITS2, 28S rRNA gene
Rfam family: Eukaryotic large subunit ribosomal RNA (bases 324-1145)
Source: RNAcentral